AUUGAACGCUGGCGGCAUGCCUUACACAUGCAAGUCGAACGGCAGCGCGGGGCAACCUGGCGGCGAGUGGCGAACGGGUGAGUAAUAUAUCGGAACGUACCCUGGAGUGGGGGAUAACGUAGCGAAAGUUACGCUAAUACCGCAUACGAUCUAAGGAUGAAAGUGGGGGAUUCGCAAGGACCUCAUGCUCCUGGAGCGGCCGAUAUCUGAUUAGCUAGUUGGUGGGGUAAAGGCCUACCAAGGCAUCGAUCAGUAGCUGGUCUGAGAGGACGACCAGCCACACUGGAACUGAGACACGGUCCAGACUCCUACGGGAGGCAGCAGUGGGGAAUUUUGGACAAUGGGCGAAAGCCUGAUCCAGCAAUGCCGCGUGAGUGAAGAAGGCCUUCGGGUUGUAAAGCUCUUUUGUCAGGGAAGAAACGGUGAGGGCUAAUAUCCUUUGCUAAUGACGGUACCUGAAGAAUAAGCACCGGCUAACUACGUGCCAGCAGCCGCGGUAAUACGUAGGGUGCAAGCGUUAAUCGGAAUUACUGGGCGUAAAGCGUGCGCAGGCGGUUUUGUAAGUCUGUCGUGAAAUCCCCGGGCUCAACCUGGGAAUUGCGAUGGAGACUGCAAGGCUAGAAUCUGGCAGAGGGGGGUAGAAUUCCACGUGUAGCAGUGAAAUGCGUAGAGAUGUGGAGGAACACCGAUGGCGAAGGCAGCCCCCUGGGUCAAGAUUGACGCUCAUGCACGAAAGCGUGGGGAGCAAACAGGAUUAGAUACCCUGGUAGUCCACGCCCUAAACGAUGUCUACUAGUUGUCGGGUUUUAAUUAACUUGGUAACGCAGCUAACGCGUGAAGUAGACCGCCUGGGGAGUACGGUCGCAAGAUUAAAACUCAAAGGAAUUGACGGGGACCCGCACAAGCGGUGGAUGAUGUGGAUUAAUUCGAUGCAACGCGAAAAACCUUACCUACCCUUGACAUGUACGGAAGUCCGGAGAGAUCUGGAUGUGCUCGAAAGAGAGCCGUAACACAGGUGCUGCAUGGCUGUCGUCAGCUCGUGUCGUGAGAUGUUGGGUUAAGUCCCGCAACGAGCGCAACCCUUGUCAUUAGUUGCUACGAAAGGGCACUCUAAUGAGACUGCCGGUGACAAACCGGAGGAAGGUGGGGAUGACGUCAAGUCCUCAUGGCCCUUAUGGGUAGGGCUUCACACGUCAUACAAUGGUACAUACAGAGGGCCGCCAACCCGCGAGGGGGAGCUAAUCCCAGAAAGUGUAUCGUAGUCCGGAUUGUAGUCUGCAACUCGACUACAUGAAGUUGGAAUCGCUAGUAAUCGCGGAUCAGCAUGUCGCGGUGAAUACGUUCCCGGGUCU
This 1352-nucleotide ribosomal RNA is filed under the name uncultured bacterium. RNAcentral describes it as "bacterial SSU rRNA". It matches the Rfam family "Bacterial small subunit ribosomal RNA", at positions 28 to 1381 of the family's 1533-position model. The record is from RNAcentral.